GUGAAUUAAACAUGCUUGGUGUCUUCGCUUCGGCAAGGCCCUUGCUUAAAUCACAUCCUAACACCUGUGAACUGUAAGACGUAUGAUGAGGUCUUUGGCCAAGUCAUCGUCUGCCCAUUUUUAACAAACAAUUAAUGCAACAAACGUAGUCUUAUUAUAACCUAAUA
This 167-nucleotide unclassified non-coding RNA is filed under the name soil metagenome. RNAcentral's name for it is "partial internal transcribed spacer 1". The record is from RNAcentral.